RNAcentral lists this ribosomal RNA (1125 nucleotides) under uncultured organism. Its description in RNAcentral is "bacterial SSU rRNA". It matches the Rfam family "Bacterial small subunit ribosomal RNA", at positions 198 to 1356 of the family's 1533-position model. The record is from RNAcentral.
GAGUAAAGGCUCCGGCGCUCUGGGAGGGGCUUGCGGCCCAUCAGCUAGUUGGUAGGGUAAAGGCCUACCAAGGCGAAGACGGGUAGGGGGUGUGAGAGCACGACCCCCCACAAUGGGACUGAAACACGGCCCAUACUCCUACGGGAGGCAGCAGCAGGGAAUAUUGCACAAUGGGCGAAAGCCUGAUGCAGCGACGCCGCGUGAGUGAAGAAGGCCUUCGGGUCGUAAAGCUCUUUUGUAGGGGAAGAGGAAGGACGGUACCCUGAGAAAAAAGCGUCGGCUAACUACGUGCCAGCAGCCGCGGUAAGACGUAGGACGCGAGCGUUAUCCGGAAUUACUGGGCGUAAAGGGCCAGCAGGCGGCUAGGUAAGUUGUGCGUGAAAGCCUCGUGCUCAACGCGAGGAAGCCGGACAAUACUGUCUAGCUGGAGGGCAUCAGAGGGGAGUGGAAUUCCCGGAGUAGCGGUAAAAUGCGCAGAUAUCGGGAGGAACACCGAUGGCGAAGGCAACUCCCUGGGGUGUACCUGACGCUAAGUGGCGAAAGCUAGGGGAGCGAACAGGAUUAGAGACCCUGGUAGUCCUAGCUGUAAACGCUGGGUGCUAGGUGUGGGGCGUAGAAGCUCUGUGCCGGAGCGAACGCGAUAAGCACCCCGCCUGGGAAUUACGGUCGCAAGGCUAAAACUCAAACGAAUUGACGGGGCCCCGCACAAGCAGCGGAGCGUGUGGUUCAAUUCGAUGCUACACGAAGAACCUUACCUGGGUUUGACAUGUACGUGGUAGAGAAGCGAAAGCGGAUUGACCCUUCGGGGAGCGUACACAGGUGCUGCAUGGCUGUCGUCAGCUCGUGCCGUGAGGUGUCGGGUUAAGUCCCGUAACGAGCGCAACCCUUGCCCUUAGUUACAAGUGUCUAGGGGGACUGCCGGCGGGAAGCCGGAGGAAGGUGGGGAUGACGUCAAGUCAGCAUGGCCCUUAUGUCCAGGGCUACACACACGCUACAAUGGUCAGUACAAAGGGUAGCGAAGCCGUGAGGUGGAGCGAAUCUCAGCAAAGCUGAUCGUAGUUCGGAUUGCAGGCUGCAACCCGCCUGCAUGAAGCUGGAGUUGCUAGUAACCGCGCGUCAGCCAUA